This 281-nucleotide long non-coding RNA is filed under the name Ananas comosus (pineapple). Its description in RNAcentral is "long non-coding RNA (ACOM_LNC030735)". The record is from RNAcentral. Lineage: Eukaryota; Viridiplantae; Streptophyta; Magnoliopsida; Poales; Bromeliaceae.
CCUAAUCAUUUUACAUGAAUUGACCUAAUAUUUUUAGAAGCACCAACCCAUUGGUGUUUCUAAAUUUUUAACCCUUGGAUUUACUCCUUCAUUACUAAUAGCUCUUGAAUCAAAUACUAUUCCACCUACCACCAUCAUCUCAACUCUACAUUUCUCCAUCCACGACUAAAAAUUCAAAAGCACCACUCCCUUGGUACUUUUAAGAGUAGUAUUCUAGCUCAACUCCAUUUAACAUCUGCUUUUACAUUUAUCUCCUUUCAAGACCCAAUCAUUGCACAUCU